This 83-nucleotide transfer RNA is filed under the name Myxococcales bacterium. RNAcentral describes it as "tRNA-Tyr". The record is from RNAcentral. Lineage: Bacteria; Pseudomonadati; Myxococcota; Myxococcia; Myxococcales. RNAcentral also lists the same sequence under 1 other name.
GGGGUGUGUGCUGCGCUGGGACGCAGGUCCGGCCGUAAACCGGGCGCCACUUGGCUAGCGGGGUUCGAUUCCCUAACGCCCCA